UCCACAGUAGCUCAGUCGUAGAGCUAUCGGCUGUUAACCGAUCGGUCGUAGGUUCGAGUCCUACCUGUGGAGCCA
This 75-nucleotide transfer RNA is filed under the name Staphylococcus aureus. RNAcentral's name for it is "tRNA-Asn". It matches the Rfam family "tRNA". Rfam says of the family: Transfer RNA (tRNA) molecules are approximately 80 nucleotides in length. Lineage: Bacteria; Bacillati; Bacillota; Bacilli; Caryophanales; Staphylococcaceae. The record is from RNAcentral.